Molecule: ribosomal RNA, 216 nt
Filed under: Glomeromycotina sp.
Lineage: Eukaryota; Fungi; Glomeromycota
Description: partial small subunit ribosomal RNA
Rfam family: Eukaryotic small subunit ribosomal RNA (bases 47-216)
Source: RNAcentral
GGGUCAGUAGGUUGGUCGUGCCACCGGUACGUACUGGUCUCACUGGUUCCUCCUUCCUGAAGAACCGUAAUGCCAUUAAUUUGGUGUUGCGGGGAAACAGGACUGUCACUUUGAAAAAAUUAGAGUGUUUAAAGCAAGCUAACGCUUGAAUACAUUAGCAUGGAAUAAUGAAAUAGGACGAUCGAUCCUAUUUUGUUGGUUUCUAGGAUUGACGUA